GUUGUUCCUGCUGAGCUUGAGCAAUUGCUGCUUCAGGAGCACUCCGUAGACAUUGCCGAAGUGACAGUGGUGGGGCUACCGCACCCUUUAUACAGAGAAGCACCAGCGGCUGCGGUAGUGCCCCGGGGCCAAUACAUGUGUCACAAGGCCGCGGGGCCCUUGGCUGAUAAGAUGAAGGCUACCAUCACAGAAAAACUGGCUAUCCACAAGCACCUUUACGGAGGCGUCUUUCUGUUCGACUCCUUGCCGAAGACAGAAAAGGCAAAAGUAAACCGAAGAGCAAUAGUGGAACAGUGUGCUCAUAAAGUAAGUUUGUAAUAAAUAAAGAAGUUACAGUCUUUCAAA
RNAcentral lists this long non-coding RNA (345 nucleotides) under Rhipicephalus microplus (southern cattle tick). RNAcentral's name for it is "uncharacterized LOC119187330". Lineage: Eukaryota; Metazoa; Arthropoda; Arachnida; Ixodida; Ixodidae. The record is from RNAcentral.